GUAAUCCGUUAAAUUGAAAAUAUAAAUUUAUUCAACUUUUGCUGAUAUUUAUAUAUAUUAAGAAAUAAGGAUUUACAUGUUUUAGUUCUAAUUUGUUGAACUUAUAUUUACAGCCUAAUAGACGCCCAAGAUUAAAAAAGACCAGACAGUGUACCGGAUUCGCCGUGCGUCUUGGUCCAGGCAAUGAACGACAUUCCGGACGGGACACUGGCCAGCAGCGACCGCGCUAUUAUGGACUUCGACAUUCUGCUGGACCCCCCUCUCGGCCUUCCCCCUCCGCCUCUGGAUCGUGUCCGACUUCCCGGACCAAUACACCUUUGAGUUCGGCUGUCGGAACAGAACAAACAUCAUCAAUGGUGUAUGUUAUGAUCGCUGGUUCCUGGACAUCAUCUUCACCGAGGGGAAAUCCGAAAACCCACCCGUGCAUAAAAUAGUCAAAGAAAUGGGACAAAAGUUUGGACUCGAAUUUGACGACCCGAGGAACACAUUCAUGUCAAUAGGAUAUGAAUGCCCUGGGAACAUAUCGCCGUAGUGAGGCCAUUUCGUCUGGAUUACGCCUGAAAUGUUUGAAAAAGUAAAUCUGGACUUUGUGUUGCCCUCUACCAUUUUUUCAAGCAGAAAUUAGAAAAAAAUAUAUGUAUUGUCAUUUGUCCAUAUGAUCACCAUUUUUGUAUGAAUUGAUUACACAUUAACCAGCCACCUAUUAUCACCAAUUGCGAGUUGGCCAAUGCCGAUGAUAUACUUAAAAUAUAUCCAAGGGUUACUCUAAAUAGACUGCAAACAUUAAAUAAUGUUGAUUAAUUCCAUUAAAAAUGGAGAAAUUUCAUAUUAGUAACAUAAGAAAACAACAAGCCCAGCUACCAUUUCACACCACUACCUGACGAUGUUUGUUCGUCAUAACAGACCACUUUACCAAUUGGUCAUUGGCCAAGAAAAGCAACCACAACGUGUCCUUUCGUCCAUUACUUCGUACAUUAUGGCCUCCAGGUCAAAGCUGACUAGUGAUCGUGGACACGUUUGUCUCGAGUGUUCAUGGACAGAACUGUUUGUCUCGAGUGGUCGCGGACAUGACUGUUGUUUCGAGUGAUCGUGGGCAUGUUUGUCUCGAGUGUUCAUGGACAGAACUGUUUGUCUUGAGUGAUCGCGGACAUGACAGUUGUUUCGAGUGAUCGUGGGCAUGUUUGUCUCGAGUGUUCAUGGACAGAACUGUUUGUCUCGAGUGAUCGCGGACAUGACUGUUGUUUUGAGUGAUCGUGGGCAUGUUUGUCUCGAGUGUUCAUGGACAGAACAAUUUAUCUCGAGGGAUCGCGGACAGAAAAGUUUAUCUCGAGGGAUCGCGGACUGAACUGUUUAUCUCGAGGGAUCGCGGACUGAACUGUUUAUCUCGAGGGAUCGCGGACUGAACUGUUUAUCUCGAGGGAUCAUGGACAAAACAGUUCAUCUCGAGGGAUCGCGGACAGAAAUGUUUAUCUCGAGGGAUCGCGGACUGAACUGUUUAUAUCGAGGGAUCGCGGACAGAACAGUUUAUCUCGAGGGAUCGCGGACAAAACAGUUUAUCUCGAGUGAUCGCGGACUGAACUGUUUAUCUCGAGGGAUCGCGGACUAAAUAGUUUAUCUCGAGGGAUCGCGGACUGAACUGUUUAUCUCGAGGGAUCGCGGACUGAACUGUGUAUCUCGAGGGAUCGCGGACAGAACUGUUUAUCUCGAGUGAUCGCGGACUGAACUGUUCGUCUCGAGUGAUUGCAGACAGAACUGUUUGUUUCGAGUGUUCAUGGACAGAACUGUUUUUCUCCCAGUUUCAUACAUUAGAGUAUAUUCUUCAGUCUGUAUUUUUCUAUCAAGGCUUACUUGUUAAUCUAGUGUCAGUAGUAAGGAGGAUGUUCCUAAUUCUCAGUUCAUUAGUUUACAUAGAUCGAGUGUGCUGAAUGCAAGAGGAAUAGUUUCAUAAAGUAUAUUUCAGUCAGUCAUUUUUUCCACCUAAGGAUUACU
Molecule: long non-coding RNA, 1989 nt
Organism: Mya arenaria
Lineage: Eukaryota; Metazoa; Mollusca; Bivalvia; Myida; Myidae
Exons: 4
Source: RefSeq, a predicted model, not a curated record